CAGGGUAAAUGUGGUUUCAAACAGACUCGAACUCUCUUUGCCAGGCUGAGUAUCUCUGAGCCAGAUUCUUUGCGGAGGGCUUGGUGUGAGUUAGCACAUCCAGAAAGUCAGCAGUGGUUAUUGUAUCCAACUGGAUCCCCGGUAAGUCGCUGCUUUCUAGGAUAAGAACACAACAGUAACAGCACAACAAUCGACCUCUUGGUGAUCAAUGCUCUUGAAACGCUAAUAGACCUUCUUUCAAGACAAUGCAUAAUGCAGCGUUCUUAAUUGUUAAUGCAGCAAAAGGCAAGACUAAGGAGGGCUGGGGAAAAAUUCUUUAAUGUGCAACUGAGUUAGCCCCUAAGGCCUAGACAAAAAAAAUGUGACUUAAAUGUAUUGUUACCAAGUAUUAUUUAAUAUUUAUAUAGUGCCUCAAAUGGAUCCAGCCCAACAUCAGAGUGUGCCAGAGAAAUAAGAGCCUGAGCCCUAAGGAGUUUAUCUUCUGCGAGCAAAGUCGAUCUGAAUCAGAACACCCACAGAGGAAUGAGUUGAGUGAGGGAUGAUUUGACCAAAAAACGUGUUGCAAGUGUAAAGCGGCACCAAGAACAGGCACCAGGCUCCAUCUGCUGAUGAAGAAACUGAGGCUUAAAGAGUAAAUGCCUUCCCUGAGGUCACACAGCUAACAAGCAGCAGGGCCAGGAUUUGACGGAUCCGCACAUCUGUGUGUCUCACUGUCAGUGUGGUGUUUGAUUUUCUGGUGGCCAUGGAACUCUCCAUUGUAAAGAAAAACAUCUUUUCUCAGCAAGUCAAAACCACCAGCAAGUGUGAAGUGCAGUGAAAACUCACAGACCUCAGAGUCUGGUCCACUGGACCCAGGCCCACUGCUGGAUAAAAGGUGCAGCACCCACUGGCCACUUCCAUGAUUUACAUCGAGCUCCAAGGCCUUGCGCCCGAUCACCUGAGCACCUGUGCCAACCCUCAGGAGUAAGAACAACCCCACUACCAUGAGGAUACAACGAGCCUAAUCCAGAAAGUGUGGACAUCCUGCAAGACAAUCCCUCUGGCAGGCAAUAAGUCAAUGGCAAGUGGAGGAAAAGAAAGGAAAAAAAAAAAAAGAGACUGAGGCGGGUGGAUGUUCUGAUUUGAGGUCAGAAGUUCGAGACUAGCCUGGC
Molecule: long non-coding RNA, 1151 nt
Organism: Piliocolobus tephrosceles (Ugandan red Colobus)
Lineage: Eukaryota; Metazoa; Chordata; Mammalia; Primates; Cercopithecidae
Exons: 5
Source: RefSeq, a predicted model, not a curated record